GUCAACUGUUCGCCGAAUCGACAUUGAUUCAUUUUGUAGCGGAGUUUCAACCUGAUAUGCACAUUUCUUUGGGAAUAAUUCUUCUAAAUGUCUUCUUUUCAUCGAGCUUAAUACUGAGAUCCAAAGCUAGGCACAUGAUCGCUUCCCUAUUGUCAAGUAAGCGGAGAUUUCAAGAACUAGACGGCACGUGCUCUUUCUCGGAAAAGAAGGAACUGCAGAUUCGUCGAAACCGAUAUGGAUUAGUAAAGAUCGUCAUUUCACGAAGCCAAGGGGCAUCAAGAAUGAGGCUUAUCGGGUUUUACGUCCCAUUCUAUCUAUUUUUCGUGCCAGCUCUCGUAAAAGGUUUAAGUACCAUCCAACCGAGACAGUCCAGUGCUACAAGGACAGAGGGGGCAAGUUUUCUCUUCGAAUGGGAUUUUCAUCUUCAAGAUGAGGACAAAAUAGAACUAACAGGGUUCAUUUUUGGCCUUUGGGUGGAUGGUUAUACCACGCAUUAUCUUAUGACGGUAACCAAGGAGGGAAGAGUGAUUCAUAAUCCUCAGUUGAGCAAGAAACAUCCAAGUUACGUCGGGCGAGUCACUUGGGCAGGAAACAUAUCAAAGUCGUAUUUGGCCUAUAAGUUGGAGAAUCUGACUUACUCGGAUAGCAACACAUACGGAUGUCAAAUUGACGUGGGAGGUUUCCGACGAACAAUUCAUUCUAUGAUCACUUUAAAUGUCCAGGCGAUAAAUACAUCAAAGACACCUGAACUGAGUGUCUCUUCCAUAUGGGUCCAUACUCCCAAUGCUACAUCGAGCACAUUUGUUCCAUUAUUAAAAGGAGGACCUCCAGCUGUAGUAAAACUUCCUUUCCACGACAUUGACAUCAAUGACACGAGGUUUUUAUGCACCUGGGAAUACCCUAAAGACAAUAAUGGAGCCAAUAUAACGAUGUUUACCGUGUGGUAUCGCCCAUUACUUCGGGAAAAAUGGUCUAAAGUGAAUGUUACACAAAACAGAUACUCAGUUAGACUGAAUUGCUGCUUGACAUACGAGAUUAUGGUAACAGCUUGGAAUAAGAAGGGUCAGAGCUCUUUUGAUCCUAGAACAGCAGCAAGGGUCACAGUUCUCAAAGGAGCAACUGCUUCCCCUAAGAGUGUCCUGGAAAAUGCAACAGCGCGAAGUGUAACAACUUCGAAUUCAAACAUUUUGGUGUCAAAUGGGAAAGCCGGCUCCGCGAAGUCAAAGUGGGAAUUAGGGGUUGAGUACUUACCUUACUUGUCAGUCCUUGCCAUUCCUGCAUUUCUUUGGGCUGUGACUUCCAAGCUCCGAAGGAGAACUGGAGUGAAUAAAAUCUCAGCAAACGAGAAUGGAACAGUAAUGCAAUACCAGCGGGUAGAAGCUGAAACAGUGCCGAUGGAUCCGGUUCCGUCCUGGGAGUUUCGGAAGGAAGACUUGGAGAUUGAUAGAGUAGUUGGCCACGGUGCGUUUGGAGUGGUCUCCAAAGCCUACGCUCGAUAUCUGCAGGGCUACUCAGAAUGGACAGUUGUGGCAGUAAAAAGCUUGCAGGAGGAUGCGAAGGAAAGUGAAAGAGAAGAUCUGUUGUCUGAAUUAAACCUUUUAAAGAGGCUGAAACCUCAUCCACAUGUAAUAAAACUUUUGGGUUGCAUCACAGAAGAAAAAGAAACCCCAUAUGUAAUCAUUGAGUAUGUACCUUAUGGAGAUCUUCUCGGUUAUCUUCGGAGAAGUCGAGGGUUGCACGACUGUUACUACGAAUAUCCCGAGAUAAAACCAACGACGAACCUAACUUCAGAGCAGAUCAUAACGUUCGCCUGGCAGAUAGCUGACGGCAUGCAGUAUAUCUCAUCUAAAAGGAUCAUCCACCGAGACCUAGCAGCAAGGAAUGUAUUAGUUGGUGAUAACCUCAGAUGCAAGAUUACAGAUUUUGGAAUGGCUCGCGAUGCUGAUAUGAAAGAUAUUUAUGUACCACGUAAUCAGGGCCGAAUUCCUGUUAAAUGGACAGCAAUUGAAGCAAUGUCUGGAAGGAUGGAGUACUCAACGAAAAGUGACGUAUGGAGUUUUGGAAUCGUUCUAUACGAGAUUUGCACCAUUGAUUCCAGUCGGAAGUAGAGAAAAUCGUAAGAAGUUAGUAUUCUUAACAGACCAGGAAUAAGAGAUAAGUGUCUCUAAAACAAAGUGCAUAUAUUCAAUCGCUAUUGCUUGCUUUCUCAAUGAUGAUAGUAUUUUUUGAUAAUGCUGUUUUCUAUCAAUUUGAGUGUUUCUCACCCAAAACAGGGACUCGUAAUUUGUUCCUCCAUCACUCGAGGAAAGUUAUUAAGUAAAGUUAAGAGACUCUUUGGUCAUUAUAUUAUUGUGAGUGUCAUCUUAAAUUCUUACACACUUUAGGCGCUGAACCUUAUCCAGGAAUAAGUCCGUAUGACAUUCCAAGAGUAUUACAAGAGGGGUAUAGAAUUCCUAAACCUGAUUAUUUUAAGGAUGAGUUAUAUAAUAUCAUGCUGAAUUGUUGGGAAACGGACCCUGAAAUAAGACCGUCAUUUG
Molecule: unclassified non-coding RNA, 2537 nt
Filed under: Pocillopora damicornis (cauliflower coral)
Lineage: Eukaryota; Metazoa; Cnidaria; Anthozoa; Scleractinia; Pocilloporidae
Description: fibroblast growth factor receptor 1-like, transcript variant X6
Source: RNAcentral